This 352-nucleotide non-coding RNA is filed under the name Enterococcus phoeniculicola. Its description in RNAcentral is "T-box sequence". The stretch from base 1 to 233 matches the Rfam family "T-box leader". Rfam says of the family: Uncharged tRNA acts as the effector for transcription antitermination of genes in the T-box leader family. T-boxes are found upstream of many aminoacyl-tRNA synthetase genes and some amino acid biosynthetic genes usually in Gram-positive bacteria. The record is from RNAcentral. Lineage: Bacteria; Bacillati; Bacillota; Bacilli; Lactobacillales; Enterococcaceae.
AAAUUGACAUCGAAAAGAAAAGUAGCAAGCGAAUGCUUUAAGAGAGUCUCUGGUUGGUGAGAAGAGAUAGCUGUAGGUUGUGAAACACAUCUUGGAGUCGUUUUUCUGAAAAAUAAGUAGGGAAAUCCGGGAAGCCCGUUAUAGCUGCGGUCAUUGAUUGAUGACCAGAUGAGGUUAGUAACUGCAAAGUACUAACAAAUAAAAGGUGGAACCACGUGAUAAACGUCCUUUAGUCUAUUGACUGAAGGGCUUUUUUUAUUCCAUUUUUUCUGGAAAUCCAAUGACUGAUAGAGGUUUUUCUUGUAAAGGAAAAACGAAUUGAGGUGGAACCACGUUUGAUGACGUCCUCUUG